Molecule: ribosomal RNA, 236 nt
Filed under: uncultured bacterium
Lineage: Bacteria
Description: partial 16S ribosomal RNA
Source: RNAcentral
CUGCUGCCUCCCGUAGGAGUCUGGGCCGUGUCUCAGUCCCAAUGUGGCCGGCCAACCUCUCAGUCCGGCUACUGAUCGUCGCCUUGGUGGGCCGUUACCCCGCCAACCAGCCAAUCAGACGCGAGUCCAUCUCAGAGCGAUAAAUCUUUGAUAUCCAGAGCCAUGCGACCCCAGAUAUAUCAUGCGGUAUUAGCAGCUGUUUCCAGCUGUUAUUCCCCACUCCAAGGCAGGUUACU